GCGGGACACGUGGUAUCCUGUCUGAAUAUGGGGGGACCAUCCUCCAAGGCUAAAUACUCCUGACUGACCGAUAGUGAACCAGUACCGUGAGGGAAAGGCGAAAAGAACCCCGGCGAGGGGAGUGAAAAAGAACCUGAAACCGUGUACGUACAAGCAGUGGGAGCCUCUUAAUGGGGUGACUGCGUACCUUUUGUAUAAUGGGUCAGCGACUUAUAUUCUGUAGCAAGGUUAACCGAAUAGGGGAGCCGAAGGGAAACCGAGUCUUAACUGGGCGUUAAGUUGCAGGGUAUAGACCCGAAACCCGGUGAUCUAGCCAUGGGCAGGUUGAAGGUUGGGUAACACUAACUGGAGGACCGAACCGACUAAUGUUGAAAAAUUAGCGGAUGACUUGUGGCUGGGGGUGAAAGGCCAAUCAAACCGGGAGAUAGCUGGUUCUCCCCGAAAGCUAUUUAGGUAGCGCCUCGUGAAUUCAUCUCCGGGGGUAGAGCACUGUUUCGGCAAGGGGGUCAUCCCGACUUACCAACCCGAUGCAAACUGCGAAUACCGGAGAAUGUUAUCACGGGAGACACACGGCGGGUGCUAACGUCCGUCGUGAAGAGGGAAACAACCCAGACCGCCAGCUAAGGUCCCAAAGUCAUGGUUAAGUGGGAAACGAUGUGGGAAGGCCCAGACAGCCAGGAUGUUGGCUUAGAAGCAGCCAUCAUUUAAAGAAAGCGUAAUAGCUCACUGGUCGAGUCGGCCUGCGCGGAAGAUGUAACGGGGCUAAACCAUGCACCGAAGCUGCGGCAGCGACACUAUGUGUUGUUGGGUAGGGGAGCGUUCUGUAAGCCUGUGAAGGUGGCCUGUGAGGGUUGCUGGAGGUAUCAGAAGUGCGAAUGCUGACAUAAGUAACGAUAAAGCGGGUGAAAAGCCCGCUCGCCGGAAGACCAAGGGUUCCUGUCCAACGUUAAUCGGGGCAGGGUGAGUCGACCCCUAAGGCGAGGCCGAAAGGCGUAGUCGAUGGGAAACAGGUUAAUAUUCCUGUACUUGGUGUUACUGCGAAGGGGGGACGGAGAAGGCUAUGUUGGCCGGGCGACGGUUGUCCCGGUUUAAGCGUGUAGGCUGGUUUUCCAGGCAAAUCCGGAAAACCAAGGCUGAGGCGUGAUGACGAGGCACUACGGUGCUGAAGCGACAAAUGCCCUGCUUCCAGGAAAAGCCUCUAAGCAUCAGGUAACAUCAAAUCGUACCCCAAACCGACACAGGUGGUCAGGUAGAGAAUACCAAGGCGCUUGAGAGAACUCGGGUGAAGGAACUAGGCAAAAUGGUGCCGUAACUUCGGGAGAAGGCACGCUGAUAUGUAGGUGAAGCGACUUGCUCGUGGAGCUGAAAUCAGUCGAAGAUACCAGCUGGCUGCAACUGUUUAUUAAAAACACAGCACUGUGCAAACACGAAAGUGGACGUAUACGGUGUGACGCCUGCCCGGUGCCGGAAGGUUAAUUGAUGGGGUUAGCGGUAACGCGAAGCUCUUGAUCGAAGCCCCGGUAAACGGCGGCCGUAACUAUAACGGUCCUAAGGUAGCGAAAUUCCUUGUCGGGUAAGUUCCGACCUGCACGAAUGGCGUAAUGAUGGCCAGGCUGUCUCCACCCGAGACUCAGUGAAAUUGAACUCGCUGUGAAGAUGCAGUGUACCCGCGGCAAGACGGAAAGACCCCGUGAACCUUUACUAUAGCUUGACACUGAACAUUGAGCCUUGAUGUGUAGGAUAGGUGGGAGGCUUUGAAGUGUGGACGCCAGUCUGCAUGGAGCCGACCUUGAAAUACCACCCUUUAAUGUUUGAUGUUCUAACGUUGGCCCGUAAUCCGGGUUGCGGACAGUGUCUGGUGGGUAGUUUGACUGGGGCGGUCUCCUCCUAAAGAGUAACGGAGGAGCACGAAGGUUGGCUAAUCCUGGUCGGACAUCAGGAGGUUAGUGCAAUGGCAUAAGCCAGCUUGACUGCGAGCGUGACGGCGCGAGCAGGUGCGAAAGCAGGUCAUAGUGAUCCGGUGGUUCUGAAUGGAAGGGCCAUCGCUCAACGGAUAAAAGGUACUCCGGGGAUAACAGGCUGAUACCGCCCAAGAGUUCAUAUCGACGGCGGUGUUUGGCACCUCGAUGUCGGCUCAUCACAUCCUGGGGCUGAAGUAGGUCCCAAGGGUAUGGCUGUUCGCCAUUUAAAGUGGUACGCGAGCUGGGUUUAGAACGUCGUGAGACAGUUCGGUCCCUAUCUGCCGUGGGCGCUGGAGAACUGAGGGGGGCUGCUCCUAGUACGAGAGGACCGGAGUGGACGCAUCACUGGUGUUCGGGUUGUCAUGCCAAUGGCACUGCCCGGUAGCUAAAUGCGGAAGAGAUAAGUGCUGAAAGCAUCUAAGCACGAAACUUGCCCCGAGAUGAGUUCUCCCUGACUCCUUGAGAGUCCUGAAGGAACGUUGAAGACGACGACGUUGAUAGGCCGGGUGUGUAAGCGCAGCGAUGCGUUGAGCUAACCGGUACUAAUGAACCGUGAGGCUUAACCUU
RNAcentral lists this ribosomal RNA (2528 nucleotides) under Escherichia coli. Its description in RNAcentral is "partial 23S ribosomal RNA". It matches the Rfam family "Bacterial large subunit ribosomal RNA", at positions 417 to 2925 of the family's 2925-position model. Lineage: Bacteria; Pseudomonadati; Pseudomonadota; Gammaproteobacteria; Enterobacterales; Enterobacteriaceae. The record is from RNAcentral.